Molecule: ribosomal RNA, 253 nt
Filed under: uncultured bacterium
Lineage: Bacteria
Description: partial 16S ribosomal RNA
Rfam family: Bacterial small subunit ribosomal RNA
Source: RNAcentral
UACGAAGGGGGCUAGCGUUGUUCGGAAUUACUGGGCGUAAAGGGCGCGUAGGCGGUUUGAAUCGUCGGAUGUGAAAGGCCUGGGCUCAACCUGGGAACGGCAUCCGAUACUGGAUGGCUUGAAUCCGGGAGAGGGAUGCAGAAUUCCAGGUGUAGCGGUGAAAUGCGUAGAUAUCUGGAGGAAUACCGGUGGCGAAGGCGGCAUCCUGGACCGGCAUUGACGCUGAUGAGCGAAAGCUAGGGGAGCAAACGGG